This 460-nucleotide ribosomal RNA is filed under the name uncultured bacterium. RNAcentral's name for it is "partial 16S ribosomal RNA". It matches the Rfam family "Bacterial small subunit ribosomal RNA", at positions 338 to 795 of the family's 1533-position model. The record is from RNAcentral.
CCUACGGGGGGCAGCAGUGAGGAAUAUUGGUCAAUGGACGAGAGUCUGAACCAGCCAAGUAGCGUGAAGGAUGACUGCCCUAUGGGUUGUAAACUUCUUUUAUAUGGGAAUAAAAUGUUCCACGUGUGGGAUUUUGUAUGUACCAUAUGAAUAAGGAUCGGCUAACUCCGUGCCAGCAGCCGCGGUAAUACGGAGGAUCCGAGCGUUAUCCGGAUUUAUUGGGUUUAAAGGGAGCGUAGGUGGAUUGUUAAGUUAGUUGUGAAAGUUUGCGGCGCAACCGUAAAAUUGCAGUUGAAACUGGCAGUCUUGAGUACAGUAGAGGUGUGCGGAAUUCGUGGUGUAGCGGUGAAAUGCUUAGAUAUCACGAAGAACUCCGAUUGCGAAGGCAGUUCACUGGACUGCAACUGACACUGAGGCUCGAAAGUGUGGGUAUCAAACAGGAUUAGAUACCCCUGUAGUC